GACGAACGCUGGCGGCGUGCCUAACACAUGCAAGUCGAGCGAGUGAAUCUCCUUCGGGAGUGAAGCUAGCGGCGGACGGGUGAGUAACACGUGGGCAACCUGCCUCAUAGAGGGGAAUAGCCUUUCGAAAGGAAGAUUAAUACCGCAUAAGAUUGUAGCUUCGCAUGAAGUAGCAAUUAAAGGAGCAAUCCGCUAUGAGAUGGGCCCGCGGCGCAUUAGCUAGUUGGUGAGGUAACGGCUCACCAAGGCGACGAUGCGUAGCCGACCUGAGAGGGUGAUCGGCCACAUUGGGACUGAGACACGGCCCAGACUCCUACGGGAGGCAGCAGUGGGGAAUAUUGCACAAUGGGGGAAACCCUGAUGCAGCAACGCCGCGUGAGUGAUGACGGCCUC
This 393-nucleotide ribosomal RNA is filed under the name uncultured bacterium. RNAcentral's name for it is "bacterial SSU rRNA". It matches the Rfam family "Bacterial small subunit ribosomal RNA", at positions 28 to 418 of the family's 1533-position model. The record is from RNAcentral.